This 253-nucleotide ribosomal RNA is filed under the name uncultured bacterium. Its description in RNAcentral is "partial 16S ribosomal RNA". It matches the Rfam family "Bacterial small subunit ribosomal RNA", at positions 524 to 776 of the family's 1533-position model. The record is from RNAcentral.
UACGUAGGGGGCAAGCGUUGUCCGGAUUUAUUGGGCGUAAAGAGCGUGUAGGCGGCCAGGUAGGUCCGUUGUGAAAACUCGAGGCUCAACCUCGAGACGUCGGCGGAAACCCUCUGGCUAGAGUCCGGAAGAGGAGAGUGGAAUUCCUGGUGUAGCGGUGAAAUGCGCAGAUAUCAGGAAGAACACCCGUGGCGAAGGCGGCUCUCCGGGACGGUACUGACGCUGAGACGCGAAAGCGUGGGGAGCAAACAGG